Molecule: transfer RNA, 72 nt
Filed under: Ovis aries (sheep)
Lineage: Eukaryota; Metazoa; Chordata; Mammalia; Artiodactyla; Bovidae
Rfam family: tRNA
About the family: Transfer RNA (tRNA) molecules are approximately 80 nucleotides in length. Their secondary structure includes four short double-helical elements and three loops (D, anti-codon, and T loops).
Source: Rfam by way of RNAcentral
UCCCUCCUAACUCAGUUGGUAAAGAAUCUGCCUGCAAUGCAGGAGACACAGGUUUGAUUCCUGGGUUGGGAA